ACGCUCGACACCUACGUGAGGCAGCAGUGAGGAAUAUUGGUCAAUGGGCGCAGGCCUGAACCAGCCAAGUAGCGUGAAGGAUGACUGCCCUAUGGGUUGUAAACUUCUUUUAUAUGGGAAUAAAGUUUUCCACGUGUGGAAUUUUGUAUGUACCAUAUGAAUAAGGAUCGGCUAACUCCGUGCGAGCAGCCGCGGUAAUCUGAGGCGGGCUGGACGAAGGC
Molecule: ribosomal RNA, 221 nt
Filed under: uncultured bacterium
Lineage: Bacteria
Description: partial 16S ribosomal RNA
Rfam family: Bacterial small subunit ribosomal RNA
Source: RNAcentral